UUACUAUCAAACUUAAACUGAAGAGUUUGAUCCUGGCUCAGAUUGAACGCUGGCGGUAUGCUUAACACAUGCAAGUCGAACGCGAAAAUACCUUCGGGUAUGAG
This 104-nucleotide ribosomal RNA is filed under the name Solemya velum gill symbiont. Its description in RNAcentral is "partial 16S ribosomal RNA". The stretch from base 15 to 104 matches the Rfam family "Bacterial small subunit ribosomal RNA", at positions 1 to 90 of the family's 1533-position model. The record is from RNAcentral. Lineage: Bacteria; Pseudomonadati; Pseudomonadota; Gammaproteobacteria.